This 75-nucleotide transfer RNA is filed under the name Bavayia ashleyi. Its description in RNAcentral is "tRNA-Asn". The record is from RNAcentral. Lineage: Eukaryota; Metazoa; Chordata; Lepidosauria; Squamata; Diplodactylidae.
UAGAUUGAAGCCCGCUGGUUUGGGUUUUUAGUUGUUAACUUAAAUAUUUUAUGGGAUCAAGGCCCGUCGAUCUAG